GUGACAGGCUGCGAGAGAUUUGAACGAAUUUGCAUUGUGAUUUCGGAGAGAGGAGAGGAGAACGAGACCUUUCCGAAGAUGUCACUCAUUGCUGCAGCCAGUCCACAUCCAGAUUACUCAUCAGCAAGCCGACUGAAUUAUGAUUUUCAUGGAUAAAACAGCAGAAUCAUUGUAUUGAGACCAGAAAAAGCACUGGUAAAAAUUGCAAAAUCUUAUACAA
Molecule: long non-coding RNA, 220 nt
Organism: Chiloscyllium plagiosum (whitespotted bambooshark)
Lineage: Eukaryota; Metazoa; Chordata; Chondrichthyes; Orectolobiformes; Hemiscylliidae
Source: RefSeq, a predicted model, not a curated record